Molecule: ribosomal RNA, 253 nt
Filed under: uncultured bacterium
Lineage: Bacteria
Description: partial 16S ribosomal RNA
Rfam family: Bacterial small subunit ribosomal RNA
Source: RNAcentral
UACGAAGGGGGCUAGCGUUGUUCGGAAUCACUGGGCGUAAAGGGCGCGUAGGCGGCUGUUCAAGUCGGGGGUGAAAGCCUGUGGCUCAACCACAGAAUGGCCUUCGAUACUGGACGGCUCGAGACCGGAAGAGGUAAGUGGAACUGCGAGUGUAGAGGUGAAAUUCGUAGAUAUUCGCAAGAACACCAGUGGCGAAGGCGGCUUACUGGUCCGGUUCUGACGCUGAGGCGCGAAAGCGUGGGGAGCAAACAGG